GGGGACAGCGGCAAACGGGGUAGUCAUACACAGGUUACGUACCCUCAGGUCCGGGAUAGCCACGGGAAACUGUGAGUAAUACCGGAUGACCCCGCAGUUGUUGAUCAACCGCGGGCAAAGGUGAGAUUCCGCCAGAGGAGCGGCUUGUGCGAUAUCAGCUAGCUGGUGAGGUAACGGCUCACCAGGGCUUAGACGUCCAGGGGGUGUGAGAGCAUGGCCCCCACCACCGGAACUGAGACACUGUCCGGACACCUACGGGUGGCUGCAGCCGAGAAUCUUUGGCAAUGCGCGAAAGCGUGACCAAGCGACGCCGCGUGCGGGAUGAAGGCCUUCGGGUUGUAAACCGCUGUCAGAGGGGAUGAAAUCAUUGGGGGUACUCCCCCUUUGUUGACAGAGCCUCAGAGGAAGCGCGGGCUAAGUUCGUGCCAGCAGCCGCGGUAACACGAACUGCGCAAACGUUAUUCGGAAUCACUGGGCUUAAAGGGUGCGUAGGCGGACUGUUAAGUAGGGCGUGAAAUCUGUCGGCUCAACCGGCAGACUGCGUUCUAAACUGGCAGUCUUGAGCGAGUCAGGGGUGUGCGGAACUUCCGGUGGAGCGGUGAAAUGUGUUGAUAUCGGAAGGAACGCCGGUGGCGAAAGCGGCACACUGGGGCUUGUCUGACGCUGAGGCACGAAAGCCAGGGGAGCGAACAGGAUUAGAUACCCUGGUAGUCCUGGCUGUAAACGAUGAAUACUGGGUUGGGGGGACUUGUUCCUCCCAGCCGUAGCGAAAGCGUUAAGUAUUCCGCCUGGGGAGUAUGGUCGCAAGGCUGAAACUCAAAGGAAUCGACGGGGGCUCACACAAGCGGUGG
Molecule: ribosomal RNA, 851 nt
Filed under: uncultured Planctomycetota bacterium
Lineage: Bacteria; Pseudomonadati; Planctomycetota
Description: bacterial SSU rRNA
Rfam family: Bacterial small subunit ribosomal RNA
Source: RNAcentral